AGUGGCGGACGGGUGAGUAACGCGUGAGGAUCUGCCCUUAGGUUGGGGAUAACAGUUGGAAACGACUGCUAAUACCCAAUGUGCCGAGAGGUGAAAGGUUUACUGCCUGAGGAUGAGCUCGCGUCCGAUUAGCUAGUUGGUGGGGUAAUGGCGUACCAAGGCGACGAUCGGUAGCUGGUCUGAGAGGAUGAUCAGCCACACUGGGACUGAGACACGGCCCAGACUCCUACGGGAGGCAGCAGUGGGGAAUUUUCCGCAAUGGGCGAAAGCCUGACGGAGCAAGACCGCGUGCGGGAGGACGGCCUGUGGGUUGUAGACCGCUUUUGACAGGGAAGAAGCUCUGACGGUACCUGUCGAAUCAGCAUCGGCUAACUCCGUGCCAGCAGCCGCGGUAAUACGGAGGAUGCAAGCGUUAUCCGGAAUUAUUGGGCGUAGAGCGUCCGUAGGUGGUUGAGUAAGUCUGCUGUUAAAGCGUGGAGCUUAACUCCAUAUCGGCAGUGGAAACUACUUGACUUGAGUGCGGUAGGGGUCAGGGGAAUUCCCAGUGUAGCGGUGAAAUGCGUAGAUAUUGGGAAGAACACCGGUGGCGAAAGCGCCUGACUGGGCCUGCACUGACACUGAGGGACGAAAGCUAGGGGAGCGAAAGGGAUUAGAUACCCCUGCAGUCUUAGCUGUAAACGAUGGGCACUAGGCGUUG
Molecule: ribosomal RNA, 697 nt
Filed under: uncultured Oscillatoriales cyanobacterium
Lineage: Bacteria; Bacillati; Cyanobacteriota; Cyanophyceae; Oscillatoriales
Description: bacterial SSU rRNA
Rfam family: Bacterial small subunit ribosomal RNA
Source: RNAcentral